RNAcentral lists this ribosomal RNA (1538 nucleotides) under Salmonella enterica subsp. enterica serovar Typhisuis. Its description in RNAcentral is "bacterial SSU rRNA". It matches the Rfam family "Bacterial small subunit ribosomal RNA". Lineage: Bacteria; Pseudomonadati; Pseudomonadota; Gammaproteobacteria; Enterobacterales; Enterobacteriaceae. The record is from RNAcentral. RNAcentral also lists the same sequence under 1 other name.
UUGAAGAGUUUGAUCAUGGCUCAGAUUGAACGCUGGCGGCAGGCCUAACACAUGCAAGUCGAACGGUAACAGGAAGCAGCUUGCUGCUUCGCUGACGAGUGGCGGACGGGUGAGUAAUGUCUGGGAAACUGCCUGAUGGAGGGGGAUAACUACUGGAAACGGUGGCUAAUACCGCAUAACGUCGCAAGACCAAAGAGGGGGACCUUCGGGCCUCUUGCCAUCAGAUGUGCCCAGAUGGGAUUAGCUUGUUGGUGAGGUAACGGCUCACCAAGGCGACGAUCCCUAGCUGGUCUGAGAGGAUGACCAGCCACACUGGAACUGAGACACGGUCCAGACUCCUACGGGAGGCAGCAGUGGGGAAUAUUGCACAAUGGGCGCAAGCCUGAUGCAGCCAUGCCGCGUGUAUGAAGAAGGCCUUCGGGUUGUAAAGUACUUUCAGCGGGGAGGAAGGUGUUGUGGUUAAUAACCGCAGCAAUUGACGUUACCCGCAGAAGAAGCACCGGCUAACUCCGUGCCAGCAGCCGCGGUAAUACGGAGGGUGCAAGCGUUAAUCGGAAUUACUGGGCGUAAAGCGCACGCAGGCGGUCUGUCAAGUCGGAUGUGAAAUCCCCGGGCUCAACCUGGGAACUGCAUUCGAAACUGGCAGGCUUGAGUCUUGUAGAGGGGGGUAGAAUUCCAGGUGUAGCGGUGAAAUGCGUAGAGAUCUGGAGGAAUACCGGUGGCGAAGGCGGCCCCCUGGACAAAGACUGACGCUCAGGUGCGAAAGCGUGGGGAGCAAACAGGAUUAGAUACCCUGGUAGUCCACGCCGUAAACGAUGUCUACUUGGAGGUUGUGCCCUUGAGGCGUGGCUUCCGGAGCUAACGCGUUAAGUAGACCGCCUGGGGAGUACGGCCGCAAGGUUAAAACUCAAAUGAAUUGACGGGGGCCCGCACAAGCGGUGGAGCAUGUGGUUUAAUUCGAUGCAACGCGAAGAACCUUACCUGGUCUUGACAUCCACGGAAGUUUUCAGAGAUGAGAAUGUGCCUUCGGGAACCGUGAGACAGGUGCUGCAUGGCUGUCGUCAGCUCGUGUUGUGAAAUGUUGGGUUAAGUCCCGCAACGAGCGCAACCCUUAUCCUUUGUUGCCAGCGGUUAGGCCGGGAACUCAAAGGAGACUGCCAGUGAUAAACUGGAGGAAGGUGGGGAUGACGUCAAGUCAUCAUGGCCCUUACGACCAGGGCUACACACGUGCUACAAUGGCGCAUACAAAGAGAAGCGACCUCGCGAGAGCAAGCGGACCUCAUAAAGUGCGUCGUAGUCCGGAUUGGAGUCUGCAACUCGACUCCAUGAAGUCGGAAUCGCUAGUAAUCGUGGAUCAGAAUGCCACGGUGAAUACGUUCCCGGGCCUUGUACACACCGCCCGUCACACCAUGGGAGUGGGUUGCAAAAGAAGUAGGUAGCUUAACCUUCGGGAGGGCGCUUACCACUUUGUGAUUCAUGACUGGGGUGAAGUCGUAACAAGGUAACCGUAGGGGAACCUGCGGUUGGAUCACCUCCUU